CAUAAGCAGCUAAGCAGGGAAGAUAGGGGAAAGGAGGAGAGGAGGAAAAGUGCGACCGCCUUCGCUGAGAGCUUUAUAUUUACAAAUAUAAAGAAAUAUAAAGAAAAAGAAAUGCUCCACUCAGCACAGCAGAGGUUUUCUGGGUUUGUGUUUCUUUGUUGCUUCUGAAAAGUUUCUUCCGUUCUGAAAGCAGGAAGAAGGCCGGCCAAACGUGACAUCAGUGUCAGGACAGGAUAUCAUUGUAUCUGCCAGAGUUAGCAGUGCACAACAUAUAGAGUACAGUUUAAACUCCUGCUCAGUGUCUCAGUCCUCUCAAGAUGUCCUCAGAUAUUUAUGCCAAACCAGAUCUAUCAAAGAAGGUGAGAUACAGCAGAAAGGAGCAGGAGGAUGGAGCAGAGUGGGAGCAGAGGGAGGUGGAUAUCUACGACAGUGCAGACUUUGAUCACACUGGAAUUCAAUCACGAGGAGGAGGUCCAAAGACUAAGAGUCCUCCUCCAGUCCAGAAGGGCUCUUUCAGAUGUGCUACACUGGGUCUAGGAGUGCUGUGCCUCCUGAUGUUAGCUGGGAUCAUCAUCCUCUCUAUACGCUUCACUUCGAUAAAACAGCAGCUGCAGAACCAAAACAACAACUGUUCAGGGAAGUGUCCUGAUCGAUGGAGGAGAUUUGGAAGCAGCUGUUACUUUAAAUCCACUGAGAGGAAAACUUGGUCUGACAGCAGGAGAGACUGUCAGGAUAAAGGAGCUGAUCUGGUGAUGAUAAACAGCAAAGAGGAACAGACAGAUUCACACGAUGAUGUUACGACAACAGAAGUGCUGAAUUAUGACUGGAGACAAUAUUUGUGUCUCUUCUCAAACAGGAAUUUAUCAAUGAACUGAACAUGAGAGGAGAGUCCUGGAUUGGUCUGGAACGCUAUUCUCAGAAACAUGAAUGGAAAUGGGUGGAUGGAUCACUGCUGACAGAAACGUUCUGGGCACCUGGACAGCAGAAUGACAGUUUCGCUUACUAUGGAGCUUGUUGUGACAGUGAUGGGAGAUGGACACAGUCAUAUGAUCCUGAAUCAAAAACCUUCAUCUGUGAGAAAUGAGUUUGGUGCUUUGAUGUAAAUGUUUGAAUAAUCCAACCAAAGACACCUCACUAUGAAAUGUCCUGCAUGAGCCUCAGACUCAGCUCACAGUUGUUACUUGUUCCUUCUGCAUCAUAUAUUGAUUACAUAUAUUGUCCCUCUGUGCUCUGUGCUGUACAGUAAGGUUGGAAGUCAUCCACACAAAACCUUGAAGUACUUCAUUACUCUGUAGUUCCAGCAAAUUGUUCUAAUAAAAGUCAAAGUGCA
Molecule: RNA transcript, 1330 nt
Organism: Oreochromis aureus
Lineage: Eukaryota; Metazoa; Chordata; Actinopteri; Cichliformes; Cichlidae
Gene name: CD209 antigen-like protein E
Exons: 6
Source: RefSeq, a predicted model, not a curated record